Peromyscus maniculatus bairdii (prairie deer mouse) is the source of this 5391-nucleotide non-coding RNA. The record is from RefSeq and is a predicted model, not a curated record. Lineage: Eukaryota; Metazoa; Chordata; Mammalia; Rodentia; Cricetidae.
AUGUCUGCAGGGAAUGGAGCACACUCUCACCUCCAUUUACAUUUAUAAACACUACAGUAUUUUCUGAGGGACCACUGUGCACCAGGCAGUGAUGUCAUUGGAACGGCUGUCACCUAUUUCAGAUAGGGCAGCCAAGGCUGUUCUGUACAAUAUCCCGUACUGGUUUCCUUACUUCAUCCACGUGCUUCAAUAAUGUCCUUUUUGAGACCGUGAGUCAUUUUUUGUUGGUAAACUUUUGAGAUAAUUAUCUUCGUUCUUUCCCUGCUGCUGUGACAGAGUGCUUUGGCAACAACAACAUAAAGGGAAAAGGGCUUAUUUGCGCUCACAGUUCAGGAUGCCCAUCAUAGAAGGGAAGUCAAGGCAACGGGCUCUUGGAGCAGCUUGUCAUACUGCACUCAUAAUCGGGAAACAGAGAGGAAUGGAUGCCUACAUGACAGGGCCCUGUUCACUUUGCCAUUUCAUGCAAUCUAGUACUUGCCCUGUCCACAGGAUUCUCUGACCAAAAGCAACUUAGAGAAGUGUUCCAGAGAGAGUUCCUGAUGGCCAGGAAGACAUGGCAAGAUGGCAGGAGCAGAAAGCUGGAUGAUCACAUCUUUAUCCACACACAGGAAGCAGAGAGCAUGAACAGGAAGUGGGGAAUGAGGGGUUUUCAGUGUAACUGUGAGGUGGAUCCCUGGUAACAAGAAUGACAGGAAAAAUCAUAAGCACUCCGAGUUCCUCAGUGUCCGAGUUUACCACCUUUCCCUGCCCAGCAUCUGGAGCUUGUAAGCACCACAGCCAGGACUCCACACCAAGUUGAGCCUGAAGUACCAAGUCCUGCUCUGGAGGUAAGACAUGCAGCUGCAGGCAUCACGCCCUGGCCCAGUCUUGCCCCUUGAAGGGAGGCCUAAAGACACUGCAAAGCAUAUGUGGGAACCCUGCUGGAGGGUGUGGGUGCAUCAGACACUGUACUGUCGGCAAAUACUCCGUCUUCCCACAUUUGUCAGGGUGCCAGAUUCUCUGAGAGAUUCCCCCUUCUUCAGGAAAUGGCAUGAUAAGAUUAUGAAAAAAAGUCAUUGUGUUACAAAAUUGUCUUUUCUCCUCUUGCCCUUUGUAUGUGACCCACGUGGAUUCUCGGCCCUGUCAACACGAGCAGGCAGCGAUGCCAUGGGCCUGCUCUGUCACUGAAGUGGGGAAGAUUUGAGGUGACAAGCCACUCCUGGUCUCUUGGAGCCUCAGCUUGUCUAUCCACGCACUUGAAGAGCUCAUGAGAGCUAAAGAUCUCUGCAAAGAAAGUGCAUUCUUCCGAAUUUGCACUUCUCUCCACGAGGGGGACAGCUUUGGUGACUUCAAAGUGUUUCUGGAAGGACAGAAUUGCACUUGGGUGUCCCAUGCCCCGGGCUGUAUGUACAGUGGUGUAGGACUUCGUGUUGGAAGUGGUUGAAGAGUCAAGAGUAAGGUUCUGGUCCUCCUUGGGGCAAGCUGCUUCUCAAGCCCAUGUCUUCUCCACACCCGCCCUGUAGAGAUUUUACCUGACAGACGCAAGUGGAACAAACAACAAGGCAAACUGAGCUGUUUCCUGUGACAAAGGACACAAAACCACCCUGUAUCAAAGCCACAGUCUCUUCAGGGUUGCCCAUGCCUGUCUGCCCAGUGCUAGGAACUUAGAAAACAUGCAUGGCCGGGUCCACCUUAAAAAUCAGCACUAGCAUUUGCAUGUAUGUGUCUAUGUACGUGUGUGUGUGUGUGUGUGUGUGUGUGUGUGUGUGUGUGUGUAUGUACGUGUGUGUUCAUGUGUGUGUAUGUGUGUAUAGGCAUAUGUGUGUAUGUGCACCCAUGCUGGUGUCUGUGUGUGUAUUUGUAUGUGUGUGUUCAUACGUGUGUAAGCACGUGCGCACAUGUGUACCCAUGUCUGUGUAUGUGCAGAGGCCAGAGAACUCCUUUCCAUUAUUCCCUUGAAGCAGGCUCUCCCACUGAACCUGGAGCUCACCAUGUUCUGCUGGGCUGGGGUCCACCCGUCUCCCCCACCUGCAGCACUAGGUUUGUGGGUGCCGAGGACACAGCAAAAGUGCUCUUACUCAGCUAGUCACAGCCCCAGCAUUUUUACAAGGGCCUUAAGUUCUAGGUGUACAGACCUUGUAGAGAACCUCCUUUUUAAAUGAAGAGACAGAUACGUUUUAAAAAAAAACAACACCAGAAUAUUCUACCAUGCAGAAAAUUACAUGCUCUGAUUUGGGUAAUUACAGGUUGCUAUGGAAGCACAGAGGUAGAGCCACUUAGCCCAGCCCAGGAAGAGCUGGUGCAGGAGGCAACCUCACAGAUGAGAUUUCAAGAUCAGGAAUUAACCAGGUGAAUCAGGACAGCAGGAGCUGAGGUGUCUUGCCUGCAUAUAUGUAUGUGCACCGUGUAUGUGCAGUGUCUAGGAUGGCCAGAAGUGGGUGUUGGAUCUCCUAGGAUUGGACUUGAAGACAAUUGUGCACUGCCAUGUGCAUGCUUGGAAUUGAACUUGAGGAACUGCCAGUAAUCUUGGCUGCUGAGCCAUCUCUCCAACCUCGUGCUGAAAAUAUUGUAAUCAAAAUGCAGAAUGAUAUCAGAUUUGUAUGAGGGGAUGGAAACUUCAUCAGACUGUGACAUGGGAUGAGGAUGGUGGUACAAAUGGAAUCUGUGGUGGACGUGGAGGAUGAGCAAGAAACCAUACUCUGUUCCGAGCGGCUGAGAUCUGGAGCCAUUUAGUAUGAAGGCACGAUUCAGUUUGUCAUGCUUGCCUCAAGUAUCUGCUGACACUUACAAAGUGUGUGAGGUUCCCAUCACACAGAGGCUGACACCUUAGCCUGUUGCACUUAUGUGGGGGUUGGUAGAAGACAUGGAGUUUCCGGAGUCAGAGACGUAGGACUUUGUUGCUCAUGGUAAGACAAACAGCACGAGCCUCCUCAUUGCAUCUAUUCCUUGGCCCUCAAAAGCCUGCUGUGUAGAGUGGCCAUGAUGGAUGCUCACCAAGUGAGUCUGUGCCACGAUUAAGAAACUCCAUGCUUAGGAAACUCCAGUUGUUUGCAAUGGAUAGCAUAUAAACCUGCCCAACUAUUCCCUAAAGUCAAAAGCAAACAAAUGUCCCCUCCUGAUCUGGAGAGACAUUAUCCUUAAUUUCCAAAGUUGUUCACUUCAUAACUAUCCUUGAAAGAUCUGGAACAGCCUUGUCAGUGACUCCGCUGGAGUGUAGAAACAGACAGACUUGGAACUGCUCCUCUUCAGCAUCUGUGGGUGGUGGUGGGGUAAUGAGUGGUAGGAAGUCUUCAGAGCAAAACUAGGAGGAAUUUUGUUGAAGGUUGGACUCUACCCAGAAGACAUCACAGAACCCUUGAAGGUUCUAAAGUAGGUGCUAUGGAGAAGAGGGAAUGGAUGUGGGGGCACAUUGCUAGAAUGGAAAUUAAAGCUAAAGAUACAGGUUUGGGGGAUUUUUGUUGUUUUGGUUUUUGUUUGAGACAGGGUCUCUCAAUGUAGUUCUGGCUGCCCUGUAGUUUGCUACGUAGACCAGGUUAUCUUCAAACUCAGAGAUCUGCCUGCCUCUGCCUCCUAAGUGCUGAGAUUGAAGGAUUGCACCACUCCACUGGGCUAAGCUUCCAGAUGUUAUGUGUACUUAGAUAAAUUCUAUAACCUUCAAAGCCUAGAUCAAAAUAUAUCAUAGUAGAAACUUCUUGAUAAAGAACUUGUGUUAGUCAGACAGAAACAAUUUCAGGAAACAAGGAUUCAUUUAGACUCAUGGUUUCAGAACAGAUACUGUCUGUCAUGGAGGGGAGGUACGGCGGUUCGAGCAUGAGGCAGCUGGUUGCAUCAUGUCCACAGUCAAGUGGCAGAUCCGAGAACUAGCAUUCUGCUCACUGGCUCCCUUUUCAAUCAGUCCAGGGCCCAAGGAGGCUGUACCAACAUUUACGGUGGGUCAUCUCCCUUUAGUUAACCUUUUCUGAAACUCCCUCACAGACAUCUCCAGAAGUAUGUCCCCCUAGGUCACUCUAAAUCCAGUCAAAAAAGAAGACCCAUCACAGAAAUCAAAUGCAGAUGUGCAAGAAAUAAAACAGAAGGAGCCUCUUUGCUUGAACUGACCACGAAAGAUCUGGAGCCUUCCUCCUGCUCCGCCAGCUCUAGGAGAAGUUCCUGGGAUCCUCUGUGGAGUUCCUACAGUCUAGAAAACAUGAGGAGACCUCAUUUUCCUUGUUCAAUUCAGGACAGAAAGAAUUCUUCUUUGUUUCUCUCUACAUACUUGUUUUUGGUUUUUGAGACAGGGUUUCUCUGUGUAGCCCUGGCUGUCCUAGAACUUACUUUGUAGUUCAGGCUGGCCUCGAACUCAGAGAUCUCCCUGCCUCUUCCUCCCUCCCUCCUGAGUGCUGGAAUUAAAGAUAUAUGCUGCCACUGCUCGGCUUCUCUCGACAUUUUGACCUGAUCAUUUGGCUGCUUCUUUCACUUGACACAGUAGGAUGCAGACUCCACGUCCAUCUCUGUAUUACCUGAGUCCGAGGUAGCACCUGCCACGUUUCAAGACUCUUCACUAGUGUUUGUUGAGUUUAAUUGAAUUAAUAUGGAAAACACAUCAGUGAAAUAACGUUAGAAGUACCCAUUUUGGAAAGCUUUUCCUUUUAAACUUGAUGAACUAUAAAAGAUGGCCCCUGGGAAAAUAAGGACCAAGGAAGAACAAACAACAACAAAACAAGACAAAGAACAACCGUGUUCUGUGGAAAUUCUAUGGAAAUUAUUUUAGUUUGUCUAUGGACCAAUAAAAUGUUUAUUCAAGAAACAAAGAGCCUUUUCUUAGUAGGGGACCAUGGUCCAAAUAAAUAGCACCCUUGAAAUUAGUGUGCUGUUAGUGAAAUUAGUGUCAGGACUUCUCAAGUGUGUGAGCCCUGCCAGCCAGCUGUGGUUUUUGCCAGGUGAGGAUGGACAGCCCUGUAUUGCUCUGCUGACUUAUGCCAUGCCAGCCGAGUAUUUACAUUUGAAAAAAAAAAACAACAAAAAACACAAUGAUUCAAAAGAACUUCAUGAACUAGGUUUGAUCCAGCUGCUGUCUUUAGCAAGUUCAAGGUGAGUUCAUCAGGGAUCUAGUGAAGACAACAGUUCUAGAAUCUCAGGGUGGCCUGGAUUUUCAUGGACUUCACAGACACUAGUGAGUGCAUGGUAUUGACUUUCAAGGAGAAAAAUCACAUAUGACUUACCAUCAUCCUGUUCUGGGUAUGUGCUAGCCUCUUUCUUAAGACCACAUGGGACUGGGUCUUGAUGGUUUGUUGAGCUGAACUUUGACAAGUGGAGGGCCCUUUUAAGUAAAAUAAUGCAAAAUUAGUUUUGAAUGUGAAUGUUUAGGAUGAGAACAGAAAUAACGUAAUGACAAUUUAAUUUAUCACCUAUUAAAAUAUAGUAUUAUUUUAG